UCUGUCUCUCUCAUUCACUUUAUCUUUCAACCCGCUUCAUCGAAAACGUAGAGAGAAUGAUUCGGAGUUAACACGCUAUGAGGAAAAUAUUCUCAACUACACGUGCGAUAGAACGUUGAAUUUUACUGGCGUACGACGAGCGAGAAACCCACCCAUUCGGUAUCCGUCCUGUGGUGGAAUUAUUUAUAUUUACACCGAUUUUACAUCCGAGCCGGAAGCAUGCUCGGCAUGGAUUGAGCAUGCGGAUACGCGAACAGUGAAAUCGACAGAAUUUCAGGACGCUGUGGUCCUCUCGCGUGCACGAGCUUCUACAUACAUACUAUGUUGCUUAUGCACCAAUGGAUACGAAUUUUACAUUCUUACUUUCCUUUGGGAUCAACGUGGAUACGAUGAAAUCCUCAGGGACAAUCUGAUCUCUCUGACGUAGAAAAUUAACAAAAAUUACUAAAGUUUGUGAUUUUUUAGGAUCGAAUAAAAAAUAUUUUCGUUUCCUGUAAAACUAUAGUACGAAGAGGUUACGCAAAAAGGCGACAUCUCGUUAAGUCGAAAACGAAUAUCGUUAUAUCUCGAUGAUUUCAUUAAAUUAGUUAACGACUAGCAAAGAUUCAUUCGUAUAUGCAUGUAUUUGGAUAUAGACGAUCCGAUUUAAAAAUCAACCAGUAAUGCACAGGAAUCGUGAAAGUAUUAAUCACGUAGAGAGAUAUACUCUAUCGUUGAAACGGCAACCGAAAUGUGGUAAAUGCCUUCUGAACUGAAAACCGAUGCUUUCGUUCCAAUUAGCCAGAAUAAUGACUAAUGUCGAUGCGUAAAAGACAACACAAUUUUAUGUACGUAUAUAUGUACGUAACUUAUGUACACACAACUACUAUCUCUCUCUCUUUACCUCGUACGUUUCAUAUUUCGUUCUAUUCGAUGAACGAUGAAAAGAACAAAGCGAUAUCAAGAGAGCGUUUGAGAGGUUUGUUUUGAAAGAAAUGAAAUGAAAAAAUGGGUAAACAAUUAGGCAAGAUAAGAGACGUAUCGAAUACUUGUGUUUUGAUAGAGUUUCGUACAUCAAUGUCACGGAAAGUAAUACGUUACUGAUUACAAAGUUAAAGGAGAUCAUGCGAAGCACACAACUUUUCAACGGACACGUCGCUCAUAUUAAAUUUUCCUCGAACAUGAACGAACCACGUUACACGCUCGCAAAGUAUAUACAUUUUCAAUGACGGACAAGUUAUAACGAGUUAUAACUACUACUCGCGAACAGUUCCCAAGGCACGAUUACAUAGAAACGUUGAAUAGCUUUAGCUUCGGGAGCAAGGUUAAAUGAGUAGGAUAUUUAUUCCCACCUUUCAACAAAUUACCAAGCCUGAAUAGGCAUCUAAAGUCAUUAACAGCAAUUGAAUAAAUUCAAUCGUUAAUUACAAUUUCUAACCGAGGAAUUCAAUCAAAUCGAUUAAUAAUUAUAAUUAAUUGUUGCCUCAUCAAAUCUAUCAAAUCUUUGUAAAAAAGAAGCAUUACCGAGGGAGAUAAUUAAUCGAAGCGAUGUUAUUUAAGAUCGCAUAAAUUAAUUCGUACGAUAGAGAAUAUACUAUACUUUGUUCUUACAGCACACAAUCUGAAAAUACAACAAGCGUGUACCACUGACCUUCUUUCUCAACAGUGAUCGGAAUCGAAGCUACAAAGGAUAUAUUUCAUUGUUCGUUCGCAAAGCCGAUUCCGGCAAAUCAUACAUAUAUAGCUUGUAUAUCGCGUAUUCAUAACAGAACUGCGUAUGUGCGUAAAUAAACGAGAGCAAGUGUAACCGAUAUGGAUACAGUUCGAGAUGGAAACAAAACAAGUUAAAAAAAAAAAAAAAAAAAAAGGAAAAAUAAGUAAAUAAAAUUAGAACGCGUUGAAUUUCUAUCGAAACUUCCAUUUUCCGCUUAUCUUUGUCUGCAAUCAGAUCGGACUGAAAUUUUUAUUAAUUAGAGAACUUGAUAACAGUAUAUAGAUCAAUUAUACUUUGAUUCGAUAACUCACGUUAAUUUAGUGACGUAUAUGCGUACGAUAAUACGACUAAUGUAUUUUUUUUUGUAAUAUUGAAAAGUAUUAUGAUGCAUCGAAAUAUAAAAGUAAAACAUUCAAGAAAGCGUAUUAAUAAAUGGAAUGAUAUAUACAUUGAUCUUACAAAAAAAAGGAACGAAAAUAGGAUUAACUUUAAUAAGCAUGAUUUCGCGCACAUCGUAAAAUAAUUCGUUGUGAAAUACUUGUUUAUAAUUAACGCAGUGGAUUAGCGAAUAUAGUAAAUAAUAGGUAGUUAGAUAAAUUAUGAUUUGUAAUGAUACUAAGAGUAUCACAUUGAAAUUAUUCGCUGACUCUUUUUGGAUAAUUCGUAAAACUAUACUUAUACAAUGUCUAAUUUAUCUCAAUACGUUAAAAUUUGUCGAACCUAACGAGAUGUGUCAUGUUAAAUAGCUUUAAAUGACAUAUUCGAGAUAAAUGUGUAGAUAAAUAAAAUGAUGCUGCAUAAGCAAGCAAGCUAAUUAUGCGCGUACGUAUGUACGUUCGUUCGUUCGUUCAUUCGUUGCUUCGAAUA
Vespula pensylvanica (western yellowjacket) is the source of this 2560-nucleotide long non-coding RNA. RefSeq lists it as uncharacterized. The transcript has 2 exons. Lineage: Eukaryota; Metazoa; Arthropoda; Insecta; Hymenoptera; Vespidae. The record is from RefSeq and is a predicted model, not a curated record.